UACGAAGGGGGCUAGCGUUGUUCGGAUUUACUGGGCGUAAAGCGCACGUAGGCGGAUCUUUAAGUCAGGGGUGAAAUCCUGGAGCUCAACUCCAGAACUGCCCCUUGAUACUGGGGAUCUUGAGUCCGGAAGAGGUGAGUGGAACUCCGAGUGUAGAGGUGAAAUUCGUAGAUAUUCGGAAGAACACCAGUGGCGAAGGCGGCUCACUGGUCCGGUACUGACGCUGAGGUGCGAAAGCGUGGGGAGCAAACAGG
Molecule: ribosomal RNA, 254 nt
Filed under: uncultured bacterium
Lineage: Bacteria
Description: partial 16S ribosomal RNA
Rfam family: Bacterial small subunit ribosomal RNA
Source: RNAcentral